This 2737-nucleotide ribosomal RNA is filed under the name Triticum aestivum (bread wheat). RNAcentral describes it as "partial small subunit ribosomal RNA". The record is from RNAcentral. Lineage: Eukaryota; Viridiplantae; Streptophyta; Magnoliopsida; Poales; Poaceae.
UGAGAAACCAACACCCAAGCAUAUGAGAUGCGCCAUAUUUCAGCACCAACCCCAUGUUGUGGAAAGCCUUUUUCAACGGUUACCAAUUUGUUUGUUUUCCUAACAAAUGUGUUGAUAGCAGCUCUAUCCGGUGGUCUAAUUGACUGAUGGUUGAUCACAUGUUAACAAAUAUUAGAGGAUAAUAAGAACAUACUAAUGGAUGUAGUCAAAAAACGUAACAUAAUUGUACUACAUAAUGUGUUUUGCAAAAGGUACCUCAGCACUGAUUCCCUCCUUGGAAAGUAUAUCUGCAGCCUGAAAAUUGACUGAGCAUAAUGUAACCAGAACAGUAGAUCAAGAAUUUUAUGUACAAUGUGAAAUGAUCAUCGAUGCUAAUUAAACAAAUGCAUUCACAUCUCAAACACAACUGAUUUCUUAAAAACUUUGUCCCGUUCAAUCAAUGGCUCCAAAAUGAGAUCUCUUAAGCACUGCAGAACAACAAGGAAAUUUCAUCUCUUUUUUUCUUGCUUUAUAAGAAUGUAGUAAUCAUGAGGGUUCUUGACCACAGCCACUGAUGACGAAGACAAUUAUUUUGUGUCAGUCAUCUAGUAACAAAAAUGAAAGAGGCAUAUGAGAAAUAUGCAUAGAUUGAUAGAUAAGCAGAAUACGUAGUCAUUAAAAAAAGAAAGCAAAUGAACGGGAUUGAUCCUUCUUGAUUCUAAAAAAGCGACAACUCCCUCGCGUCGUCUCUCCGAGGCGACCCGGGGGCCCCAAAUCCCUCCACCGCCGGCCGGCAAUCUGCUUCUCCCCUGCCGCCGCUGCCGCCGGCCCUUGCCGCGGUGGCGGCGGGCCCCGUUCCUCGAAGGGGAGGGGGACCUCCGGCCGAUGCGUGGGGCGCGGCGGCGGAUCUUGGGCCCCGGGGCGGCGGCCUCGGUCUUGGCGACGACGGCUGCUGCGGCUGCUUGGGCGGCGCGGUGGUUGGGCCUGGGCGCGGUGCUGCUGCGGCCAUGCUGGGUGCUCGCGGUGGAGGAAGCUCGGUCCUCCUGCUGCACGACGUUCUUCGGCGCGACGACUCCGGCGACUUCGCGGCCUUGCGUCGCCGAGGUCCUUCUCCAGCUGGCCUAGGCGGGGUGGCAGCCCCCUGGUCUGCCUGUGCGAGCUCGUCCCCGUGGCCGGCUUGUCGAUGGUGUUGCCGGCUCGUCGGAUCGGCUUCGGCGGGAUCUGGCCGGCUGUGGUCGGUUUUGGUUUUCUGCGUCCGUGAGUUCUGCCACGACUGGGAGCUCUGUUCUCCGGUGUGCGGUGCCCGUGCAGUGGUGGUGGGUGCCAGAUGUUGGAUCUGGCUCAUCUGUUUUGGCAGACGGACGACGAGGGAGGAGGUGGCUCUGGCGCGGCGGUGGCGUGUUCGCGGCGUCGGAGGUGUGCGGGCCAGCGGAGUGCUCUGCGUGGGACUGUUGUUCGUGCUGCUCCAGGUGAAAGCCUAGCCGAUGCUCGCAGGCCGGCGGCGGCGGCGCCUGUGGGCGUCGCUUUCCUCCUUGGAGGCGCCGUCGAGGAGUUUCUGCACUUUCUCAGCUCUCGGGUUAAGAUCUACGGGCGAAAGUCAUGAUCCUGUUCAAUCGGGCGGCGGCGGCAUCUUCAAUGUCGUUUUCCCUCUUUGGGGCGUCGUCUUGGAGAUCUUGGCCCCUUUUGUGCUUCCUGCAGGCUGGACGUGCGCGGCAUCACGGUUGGCCGGUGUGCAACUGGUGAUGCGUGUGGUUGGCGUUGCGACUCGUGUGAUGACGACGAUGAUGGCGUGCGAAGCUGGGUCACGGCUUGCCCUUCUGAUGUCGACGGUCCGGUGCGCCAAUGGGUGUGCCUAUGCUGGCUUCUGGCUGUGACAGAGAAGUCGAAGUUGCGUGCGAUGCCUCUGCGGCAACGAUGACUCCAUGAGGGCGGUUUUCAGCGGGCGGUGCUCUCCGGAUGAUGCGCUGGACUAGGUCGGCGCGAGGCUUGCAACUUUCUCCUGUGAAGCAUUUCAGCAAAAUCGGAGCUGCCAUGUCCUCGACGCUUCGGUCGACCGUUUGGCUUGUCUGUGGCCAGGUCGGCUGUGUGUGCCCCGUGUGGGGUUGUAUCUGGGUUUUCGCCCGGUUUUCCUCUAAUUAACCGGACAAAUCUCUUCUUCUUAAUCAAUGAAAAUGGCAAAUCUUUUGCCUCGUUUCAAAAAAAAAGCAAGAUUCUAAGGAGACUGAGUGUAGGAUAAGUGAUAAAAAUGAAAUAAAAGCAGUGGAGAAAUAUGCAUAGAAUGGAGUAUGUGUUUCUAUAUACAUACAAGGAUAAAUAAAAUGCAUGAUAGCAUUAUCUUCUUCUGAAUUUUCUUAUCAGUCAUGUCAGUUUCAACAUCUAGUCCCAUCUUAUGUAUCUUAGCAUGAACCUGGGCAUCAAAAGCAGAUUGUCAUUUAACUCGGAAGAAAAAGAACCCGGCUGAUUGAUUACCAUGAGAAACAGCUAAAACUACUAACAAACUGCUAGACAUAACGAAUGGAAAAACGGUCACUGACAAGUUUCAAACUAACACACAAGGGUCAGUUAACUAUUUCCACUCUUAUGGGCGAUCCGAGCUAAACGAGGGCAGGGACGGGGGAUUAAAACAGGACGACUGCCCAGAUUGGAUGUCACCUUCUCCUCGCACUUGGCGUCGGCACUUGGAGCCGGGGUGGAGGUCGAUGUACAUCAGGAGAUCCAGAAGAGGAAGGUCAAUCAUGGCAGCUGCCUGAUGCAAAUA